UCCCCUAGUAACUGCGAGUGAAGCGGGAAGAGCUCAAAUUUCGAAUCUGGCGGUCCUUUGGCCCGUCCGAGUUGUAAUCUAGAGAAGCGUUUUCCAGCCCCGUGCCCGUGUACAAGUCUCCUGGAAGGGAGCAUCACAGAGGGUGAGAAUCCCGUCUUUGACACGGAUGCCAGUGCACCGCGAUGCGCUCUCGACGAGUCGAGUUGUUUGGGAAUGCAGCUCAAAAAGGGUGGUAAACUCCAUCUAAAGCUAAAUACCGGCGAGAGACCGAUAGCGAACAAGUACCGUGAGGGAAAGAUGAAAAGAACUUUGGAAAGAGAGUUAAACAGUACGUGAAAUUGCUGAAAGGGAAACGCUCGACGUCAGUCACGUCGUCCAGGGAUCAACCUUGCUUCGUCGCUCGGUGUAUUUCCUGUUCGGCGGGUCAGCGUCGGUCUCGCUCGUCGUACAAGGGCUGCGGGGAACGUGACACCCUCCGGGGUGUGUUAUAGCCUUGCGUCGCAUGCGCCGGGUCGGGACCGAGGAACUCGGCACGGCUUUCCUUAGCCUGUGCUUAGGACGCUGGCAUAAUGGCCUUGAGCGACCCGUCUUGAAACACGGACCAAGGAGUCUAACAUGCCUGCGAGCGUUCGGGUGGAAAACUCGAGCGCGCAAUGAAAGUGAAAGUC
This 668-nucleotide ribosomal RNA is filed under the name Tylopilus yangzhuliangii. Its description in RNAcentral is "partial large subunit ribosomal RNA". It matches the Rfam family "Eukaryotic large subunit ribosomal RNA", at positions 76 to 733 of the family's 3401-position model. The record is from RNAcentral. Lineage: Eukaryota; Fungi; Basidiomycota; Agaricomycetes; Boletales; Boletaceae.